UGGGGAAUAUUGGACAAUGGGCGAAAGCCUGAUCCAGCAAUGCCGCGUGAGUGAUGAAGGCCUUAGGGUUGUAAAGCUCUUUUGCCAGGGAUGAUAAUGACAGUACCUGGAGAAUAAGCUCCGGCUAACUCCGUGCCAGCAGCCGCGGUAAUACGGAGGGAGCUAGCGUUGUUCGGAAUUACUGGGCGUAAAGCGCACGUAGGUGGCUUUGUAAGUCAGAGGUGAAAUCCCGGGGCUCAACCCCGGAACUGCCUUUGAAACUACAUCGCUAGAGUCUUGGAGAGGUUAGUGGAAUUCCGAGUGUAGAGGUGGAAUUCGUAGAUAUUCGGAAGAACACCAGUGGCGAAGGCGACUAACUGGACAAGUACUGACACUGAGGUGCGAAAGCGUGGGGAGCAAACAGGAUUAGAUACCCCCGUAGUCC
Molecule: ribosomal RNA, 424 nt
Filed under: uncultured prokaryote
Description: bacterial SSU rRNA
Rfam family: Bacterial small subunit ribosomal RNA
Source: RNAcentral